This 433-nucleotide ribosomal RNA is filed under the name uncultured bacterium. Its description in RNAcentral is "partial 16S ribosomal RNA". It matches the Rfam family "Bacterial small subunit ribosomal RNA", at positions 29 to 507 of the family's 1533-position model. The record is from RNAcentral.
AACGAACGCUGGCGGCAUGCCUAACACAUGCAAGUCGAACGAGACCUUCGGGUCUAGUGGCGCACGGGUGCGUAGCGCGUGGGAACCUGCCCUUAGGUUCGGAAUAACUCCCCGAAAGGGGUGCUAAUACCGGAUAAUGUCUUCGGACCAAAGAUUUAUCGCCUUUGGAUGGGCCCGCGUUGGAUUAGCUGGUUGGUAGGGUAAAAGCCUACCAAGGCGACGAUCCAUAUCUGGUCUGAGAGGAGGAUCAGCAAAACUGGGACUAAGACACGGCCCGGACUCCACCGGGAAGAAGAAGUGGGGAAUAUUGGACAAUGGGCGAAAGCUUACUACGGCAAGGCGGGUUGAGUGAUGAAGGCCUUGGGGUUGUAAAGCUCUUUUACCCGGGAUGAUAAUGACAGUACCGGGAGAAUAAGCCCCGGCUAACUCCGGG